Molecule: non-coding RNA, 795 nt
Organism: Myodes glareolus (Bank vole)
Lineage: Eukaryota; Metazoa; Chordata; Mammalia; Rodentia; Cricetidae
Source: RefSeq, a predicted model, not a curated record
GUGGUUUCUAACCAUAAUUAAAGGUCUUUGAGCCUAUUAUUCGGGAUCCUAGAGAAGCUAAAUAAGAAGACGAACCUGAUGAAGAUUAUUUAGCUAUCUGUAAACUAUUUUAAAUGAUGAAAUAAUAACUUGAAGUUUGUCCUUGUUUCUGACUCAAAAGUUUUGCCUUAAGUAUGAAUAAAAAUAUGUAAUUUUUAAAAGAAUUACUGACUGGGGAAGUUUCCUUACAAUAUUAAAGAAAGAAUGCUUGCUUUUCUUACUAAGAAACAAGGGUUAGGUUUAUAUUAGUAAUAUAUUUUAAAAUACCUUAUGUAUGUACCAGUCUUUAAUCAGUGGCAAUUGUCAUGUUGAUGUAAUUGACAGUAGAGGACAAGAAGGAAAAAAGUGAAAUGGUAGCCUCAACAUACUGGAUAAUCUUCUAUUGUAAAGUAAUAAACUUGGAGAGCUGAAGACUCAGUUAUUAAGGGAGCGUACUACUCUGACAGAAGACCCAAGUUUAGUUUCCAGGAGCCACAUUGGGUGUAUAACAAUGGCCAAUAAUCCUAGCUCCAGGAUAUCUGGCACCUUCUUCUGGUCUCUAAGAGCACUAAAUUUACACAGAGAAAGCCCAUAAGCAUACAUAUUCAUGAAGUUAUUUUUAUUAAUUUAAAAAUUAUUGAGAGAUAAAAUUUCAACAAAACCUAAGGAUUAUUGUCAACAUGAGCCUUUGAUGUGAACUGGGUGUUAGUCAUUGUGUUUUGAAUAUUUUAGUGGCAUGUUGUACUGUAUAGUCUAACAAAAAUUAUGCUGAUUCAA